CGAAGUCUCUUCCAACCCAUCCAAAGUUUCCAGCCUCUCUGUGUCUUCAUUGUCUCACUUUGCGUUUUCAGCGCUGUACGUUGCCAAUAGCGAUCUGGGAGCUGAGAUUCUAGCAUUUGCCUCGCAUUUUUCGUAAGGCUUCUGCAUUCAGAUGUUCCUACAACCAAUUGUAUAGCCCAUUACUAUUUACUUUGAUGCAUUGUUAGUAAUCAUGUAUACGAUUGCCACCCACUUCUAACAACUAUUAUUGCAUAAAAAUGUCAUCUUGAGGCGUGUAACAUUGUAUUUAAUUUAUUAUAGGUUACUGGGUCAAUCUUAUUUGUGGUGCCUGAUCCAAUCAAUGCACAACAGUUGUAGGGUUGUUACUAGCGGUUGUGGUUGCAAUGGCAUAUCCAUGGGAAUGUGUCGAACUGGUUUCUCUGUGUUACGUGUGGUUGCAUUCAUCUGCAAACAAAAGGUUUUCUAGAUUCUACUGUAUUAUGUGUUGAGAAGAUUGUUUGGUCAGUGCAAUGAUAACAUGUAUACAGAAAAAAGAACAAGAAUGAAGUGAUGUUUUUGAAGCUUAUGUUUUUCAAGAGAAAUUCUGAGGAAAAUGUUGAAUUAUUUUGUUCCCUGUUGUCUCUUUUCCCUUAUUUUUACUAACUAAACUAGGGAAAGUAAUUCAUCUAAAAUUCUCUUUUAUUUUUAUUUUUUAUUAGCUAACAAAUGCAAUGGAAUUGGUUGAUUUGUUAAUACUCUGAUUCAUGUUAGAGCUUAAAGAGAAGGAAGCAUUGGUUAUAGCUCAUUAUUAUUUAUGUGCAAUUUGUUUUUGGUUUGAAGACACCAUUGUUUAUAUAAUUCUCUUUUCUUUAUGGCCUAUGAUGCGUCAAUUUUGUCCGUACCAUCUGAGAUACUCAUUGAUGUGACAAACUUUCGCCUUUUCUGAGGCCUUCCUCUUGUAUUUUGUUUUCUUUCUUCUUUUUGAAGUUUUCUCAGUUCUUGCUCUCUUGUUUUUAUCCCUUAAAACGAAUUUAACUGCAUAUUGUAUUGAUGCUUUUAUUGAACUUCUUUUCGCAGGUAUUUUUCAUUUAGUUGUUUGCUUUGUUAGAAAAUGUAUUAUGGUGGCUGUUAAUAGGUGUUGAAUGUAGUAAGGCAACAAAUUAGAGUCUCUGGUGCGCUUUUUGAUAGUGUUGUCAGUGCUGUACGUUGCCAAUACUGAUUUGGGAGUUGAUGUUAUUGCAUUUGCCUCAUCUUAGGCUAGUGCAUUCAGAUGUUCCUACAGUUGUUUGAUGUUAUUUACUUUUUUUUUUUUCUUUUUUCUUUUUAAGUUUUUUUGAUGAUGAUUGUGAUGGAUGCACGUUGAUUACUAUGUGUUUGUGCAAAUGGCAUGUGCAGGCCUCUGUGAUUGUCAAUUUUCAUCUGUUAAUAUAUUUAAUAUAACCUUCUGCGAGUUGUGCUGUCGGUAUGCAUGGUUCUGUGUGGCCCUUCGUGUUUGUGAGAUGCAUCACUUCUUGGGGCAUUGCACUGAGUAUUUUGUUUUCAUUAUGUAUUGGCACUUGUAAAUUCAUUUUUCAGCUUGCAGUUUGCAGCUGAACUUUUCAAACAAUAGGUUUCCAUUGGCAUUUGCUUACAAAAUAAAGUUGCAGGUCCAUUGCAACCACAUAAUAUUGACCCAGUAUCCUAUAAUAGAUUAGAUAAUAUUGUUUCACGACUCAAGCUAGUCAUUGUAUCAUAAUUUUUAUCGACUUUGAUAUUAUAUCGGUAUGGUUAUCAAUAUUGUUAUUUUCGUUAUUACUGUCACUAAUAGUGUCAUUGUCUGUAUACAGUGUAGAGAAUUAAUGGUAAUUUAAUUGAGGGUAUUUCUGAAAUGAUGAUCAAUGUUUAAUCCCAGCUCAUUAUGAGACCUUGAGAUAUCAAGGUCCGGGAAUGGAUCUAUAAACAUGUAUCUGAUUCGCAAACUAUUUAUAUCAUUGUAUUUUUGUUUGUGUUUUAAUGUUUAUGGGCAUUUGUUAACAAACUUGGUUCACUCUAUCCAUAGCUACCCAACACUUGAUGAGGCUUUCA
Corylus avellana is the source of this 2043-nucleotide long non-coding RNA. RefSeq lists it as uncharacterized. The record is from RefSeq and is a predicted model, not a curated record. Lineage: Eukaryota; Viridiplantae; Streptophyta; Magnoliopsida; Fagales; Betulaceae.